This 7583-nucleotide long non-coding RNA is filed under the name Nicotiana tabacum (common tobacco). RNAcentral describes it as "long non-coding RNA (NTAB_LNC017607)". The record is from RNAcentral. Lineage: Eukaryota; Viridiplantae; Streptophyta; Magnoliopsida; Solanales; Solanaceae.
CCUUUACCAUCGUUGAUGGUGUUGCUCCCAUGAAGAGGUACGUAAAUCCAAUUUUACUUUACUUUUCUCUGUGCUUUUUGGUUUAAACAUAUAUUUACUAAAUUCGAAAAAGAAUAAAAAAUAUAGAAAUUGGAAGGCUAAUAAAAAAAGAUUACUUGAAAUGUUGCAGCUUUGAGGAAUUUGGAGAGAAAGCAGCAGAAGGAGGAAAUGGCUGCAAAUGCGGAUCAAACUGCACCUGUGACCCUUGCAAUUGUUAAGAUAAUUCUCUUGUGAUUCCACAAUAAUGUGUGUGUUUUCUGUAAUAAUAAGGAUAAAACUACAGCUAGCCAUGGAACUGAUUGUCAGUUCUUAGGUUUGUUUGUUCUGAUCACUUUCCUGUUUGUUUCUCCAUCUGAUAUAUAUUUCUGUAGUGUGAUUUGGGGUGUAACAGAAACGUAUCAUAUAUAAAUUAUAAGUUUGUUAAUUUGUUCCUUUAUUGCCUCUGAAAUCUCUCAUACUAUUUCUUUUGCAGUACCGUAUUUUUCAUCUCUGUUAAUAUUUUUACUUCAAUAAUAUUGAAGUAUAAAGCAACGUAGUUAAUAUUGGACACGAAAUUGCAAAUGCAAAUUUGAAAGAUCAAAACGGAGAAAGUUUGCACUUUUGUUUUAACAAUUAUCAAAAGUUGUCACAUUUAUGACAUUCGAUUUGUGGAAUUUGCUAAUAAAUCACGACCCAUGCUCCUGUGCCUUCUUUUUAGAGGGGCUUAACUUUGACGAAUAAUUGGCGCGCUAUUUUGGUAUUGUUGAUGUAAAAUUACUAGUACUAAUGUUUAGUACAUGUUCAUUCGAGCUAAUAGACUAAAUUAAUAAUCAAGUCAUUCAAAGUGUAAUUAGCACCAAACCGUAAAUGGUUAAGUGAUAAGUUAAGGGAAACACAUGUAUUAAUUAACUAUGCUUUAGUGAUAACUACGUUUGUGUAGACAUGUGUCAUGUAUUUAUUGGAUUGAUAUAAACAUAUGUGUAGACAUGUGUCAUGUAUUUAUUGGAUUGAUAUAAACAUAUGAUACGAAUAAGUAUUUACUGAAAUAUCACCGAGGAGCAGCUAGACUCAAAUUAGAUGGUAAUGUUCUUCCUUAGGAUGUUGUUUUGUUGUCAUCUAAGCUUUACCAGUUGAAAAUCCUAGCAUCAAAGUGAAAAGAAUACUAGGUAAUUUUCUUAUUUAGAAAACAUAAAAAUACUAAGUGUUUCUUCGCAUUUGCUUUAAUAUUGAAUGGCAAAAUUACCGGGUACAUUUAUCGAUAGGAGGCCACAAAUACCCAAUGAUAUAGACUAGUUGUGCAAAAGCUUUAUUGGCCACCACCGUUAUAGAAAGAAAAAAAAGAAGCUUUCUUUUUUGACUUUGGAAUUAGGUUGCCUACUUAUUGUUUAGCACGUUAUGAGCAAACAAAUAUUAGUUUCAUUUUCUGAGCUCUCAAUUGAGUUGAAAUGAUAGAAAGACGGUUUCUUAUACAUAAGCAACACUUCAUAAAUCAUAAAGUUUAAAGAAGUUAAUGUUGUACACGAACUUGAUGUUGUAUAGUAUAUAUGAUUAAAUUAUAGUCCAUGAUGUCAUGUAGCCAAUCAGAUUAGCAAAUUGUAGUUGUGGUAGUAAAAGAAGAAUCUUCAAACUUUUUAUCGUGUUAGAAAUAGUGAUAUGCUUCCUCUUUCGUAAAAGAUAUGUAUUCUCCAAAAGCAAAAGGGAUGAUUGAUGAAUACCAUCUUCGACGGCUGAAAAUAUAGAGCAUAAAAAGGUCUUUUUAUGAGCAUCUCAUGGUUUUUUAUUGUCUGAAGUUCACUGGUCUAAGUGAUUCAAAUUCGUGCUAUUAUGGGAAAUUUUAAUAUUUCUUAUUAAAAAGACUUUAGAUUUCUAAUUAAGGACGAAAAAAUAUUUUCUCGUAAAAAAUAUAAUGAGAGCUAGCUGUAGUAUGUAUUCUCCAAAACCAAAAGGGAUUGAUGAUUGAUGAAAAUCAUCUUGGACGGCUGUAAAUAAGAAGUAUAAAAGGGACUUUUUAUGAACAUCUCAUUGGUUUUUUUUAUUAUCUGAAAUUUAUUGGCCUCACUUAUUUAAAUUUGUGCUAUAAAAUUUAACUCGAGAUCUUUGGUUAAUGAGUCAAAGAGACCUUUACUAUUCCAUCUAUUAAAGAGAAUUUUAUUUUCAGAACUUAAACUCGAGAUCUCUAGUUAAGGACGAAAAGAUCAAUAUUAUUCCGCCAUAACCUUUGGUGGUACGAGUACAUAUCUCAUGCUCAUUUUACGGCUCUUUUAUCCCUUUUUAAAAUGCCUACCUGCUAGUUCAAUUUUUUUAUAAUUGUUAAAUCUACGAACCCCUUCAAGGUCUUGUGACUAUCAAAAUAAUAUGAUAUGGAGAAUUUAACAAAGAUCCUUUUCAUUGGUUGCGGAGUUUUUCAAGAAUCUAAAACUCCAAAUAAGCAUAGUUGGACUGAUUGAGACGGAAAAAGAACAAUUGGUCUUGUUGAGGAUUUUAGGAAUUAUUUAAUUGCACAAAAUAAAUGGUCUACGUUUAUCAAAAGCGAGGGGAAUCAAAUUAUAUAUAAGAAAGUCGCUCUCUACAAGUCUCCAACAAUACCAAUUGGAUAAUGUUAUUUAGUAGGCGUUUGGACAUAAGAAUUGUAAAAUUCGGAAAAAUGAUAAAAAAAAAAAGUUUAAAGUGAAAAUGGUAUUUGAAAUUUAGAGUUGUGUUUGGACAUAAAUUUCAGUUUGGGUUGUUUUUGAAAUUUUGUGAGUGAUUUGAGUAAAAAUUUUGAAAAACAGUUUUUUGCAGUUUUUCAAAUUUUCGAACAUUUCCAAAAUGCAUUUUCAAGUGAAAAUUGAAAAUUUUAUGAACAAACGUUGAUUUCGGAAAAAAACUGGAAAAAUCUUCAACCAAAUUAUAUGUCCAAACGGGCCCUUAAUAUGGUAAAGCGAGAAAAGUCUAUAAAUCCUAGAUUGAUGCCAUCCCAAAUGUCAGUGUUUAGAGUUGACAAUGUAACCUUGCGUUGUGAAGUUACCUGAAAGGGUGUAAUACAUAAGGGUAAAUAUUUUGAACUAAUAUUCCUCAAACUUUAAAUAGGAUGGCACUUUAACUACUUGCUGAUACGAUGAUCAUGAUUAGGGGUGUGCAAACAAAAUCGAUAAACCACACCAAAUUGAUAAUUUGAGUCAAACCGAAGAAAAAAAACUCGAUUGUAGUUUGGUUUGGUAUUGGAAAAAAAAAAUCGGCCAUAAUUGGUUUGGUUUGGUUUUAACUAAAAAAAAGUCAAAUCGAAACCAAACCAACCCGAUAGUACAUUUAUACAAAUUUUAAAAAUACUUUAUACAUAUAAAUAUUUAUUGUAAUUUAAUUUAUUAAUACUUCUUAAAUUGUUUUCAUAGUUUUAUCUUUUGACUAUUAUUUCAAGUUUGGACUUAACAUUCUUGAAUGUAAAUAAAUUAACUUAACAUUCUUGAAUGGUAAAUAAAUUUAUAACUCAUAAAUGUAGUAACUCAAACAAAGUUCAAAUCAAUACUAAUGCUAACAAAAGAAAUUCAUGAAUUCAACACUAGGAAUGACGAUAGUGUUGAAUAUCUAUAUUUUAUGUUUACAUUAGUUUAUAAUUAAAAUGCAUAGCUUAGUUCUUUAGUGCUUAGUUAUGUAACUAAUAAUACUUAUUAGCUAUACUUAUUUUAGCAUGACUUAUAUAUAGUAUUUUUAGAUUAUGUUAAUUUUCAUUAUAGGUUAUUAAUUAGCAAUAUUUGAUUUAUGUAAUUUUAUUAUCUUUGUUAUUGAAUAUUUUAGUAUAAUGCUAUGACUUAUUUCAUAUUAUUGUGUUAUUUUCUUGAAAAAUAUAUUAUAUAGUUGUAUCUUACUAGGACUAAAGAAAUAUUUGGAGCACAAGUUGCAUAUUUUGUGCUAUGAAGACUUUACCCGAAAAAACUCGAAAACCCGAAAACAAAAUCGAAAAACCCGAGAAAAAUCGAGAUUGAAAAAUCCGACUUUGUUGGUUUGGUUUGGUUUGUAAAUUUAAAAACCUAACACUAUUGGUUUGGUAAUUGAAAAAUCCGAAUCAACCCGACUUAUGUACACCCCUAAACAUGAUCUCAAACUCUUAAAACAUAGGAGUAGUAAUCUCUUUUUUUCUCAUUAACUAUAGGGAUGUUAUCUAUAAAAAAGUACAUCAUUCCCAUAACCAAAAUUCGAGACCUUUUACUUAAGAAUGAAGUAACCUUUAUCAGUUCACCACACCUCUUGGUAGUAAUCAGUUUAGUUAAUUAAAUUGUAUCCAAAUGCUUUUAUAUCUUUUAUUUCCUUAAUAAAAAUUGAUAUUUGGUCAUUUACUUAGCUUUUUUAGUAUAUUUGUUUUCAUUUUACACCAGUAUUUCAUAACCGCAUUGGGGGUCCGAUACUCCAAAUUCGAGCCACAUAAUGCCUAUUAAAAGGAGAAGGCCAUCUUACUAGAACUUUUUUCAUCCUCGUGGCUCAAACAUAAGAUCUUUGAUAAGGGUGGAAGAAUCCUAUAUAUUCAUUCCACCACAACUCUGGAUGAUUUAUCUGGUUUAGUUUCUGUUUAGAAAAUAUCUUCAUUCUUCUAUUUUUUGUUAAAAUGACUAAAAGUUAUCCCUAUACAAGGGGGCGAAGCGUUAAGAAGAGAAAGUAUAUCGCGAUACAAAAUAAAGUGGUGGCUAGUACACUAAGCUUAAAUCAACUAUUGUUCAAAACAUAGAGCCUUUCUUUCUUAGUCGUCUGGUUUAAUAAGUGAAUUUCGAUAUGCUCUUAAUAUUUAGUUUAAAGUAUAUAUAUUUUUACGCAUAUUGCCUCACAUUUUACUCAUGUUUCGUAGACUUCGGAUGUGAAAUUUAAUAAUUUGUGCUAAUUCGUAAUAUUACUAUGUGUAGCAAUUAUCCGGAGGCAAUAUAGGGCGAAGGUGCGAGAUUGGAGGCAAAAAGGAGCAAAAUAGGAAAAUUGCCACAGAGUAGCGCCCAGGCUAGCGUGGGACGCUACCUGUGGCAGUGAAGUCAGAGUGAAAAAAAUCCCAGUGCCAGGGCUAACACCCCAUGCUACCCUGGGCGCGGGUGACGGGAAAAUUCUCCUAGUUCGCCCAGGACAAAGUUAUUUUGGCCCAAGAACUCCCCAACUCGUAUAAAAGCAAGACUAAGCCUAUUUUGAGAGGGGAGACGUGACUUUGAGGAAAAAAUACACACAAGGAACAUCCGGGAGCGAGGAUAUCUCAGGUUUCUUCAUCCUUUCUUAGUAUUCUCAAUUAUUCAACACUUGUGAAUUUGUUUUAAUCUUAUCAUGAGUGACUAAAACACAUAGUUCUGGAGUUGUAAUUUAGCCAUGAAUAUUGUUGUUUGACGUUGACUUAACCUUGAUUAGAAUUUUCUAAUAUAUGGUUAUUUCUUCAAUUCUGUGAUUAACUGCUUAAUUGUCUGGCCAACAGUUAGGUUGUAUUUACUAUCUGUGCUAUGCUUGGUAAAGUUACGUCUAGAUUAGAGAUGAAUUGAAGAGGGCAUGAUCUUAACUCUAAGUGGAGGGUCGGAUUUAUGGUUAGAAUGGGAAUAUUCCUAGUACCAUGCUCAAUUGAAUAUCGUAAUCUUAAUACGUUCUUAAUAGAUUGAUUCCACAAGAAUAUAGCGUUAAUAUAUUUUGAAUAGGCAAGUAGUAAUUCAGGAUAAUACACGAGAGGAAUUGUUCGAUUAAUUAGCAAUCAUGAGUGAAUGGUAUGAAAGGGAGAGUUGACUAAAACGUAAUAGGAUUGGUGAAUUGAUCACAAUCCUGGAAUAUUAGCCAAAUACACAAUAACUAUUUUGCUGCUUGAUUAAUUAGUUACUUGUUAGAAUUAUUGCUUAGUAUAAUCACACUUUUGAACUCUGAUUGACUCGACUGAAUAAUAAUCUUGGUGAAACUAUUGGGUAGUUAACACAAGUCUCUGUGGGUUCGACAUUUGAUUUAUCACUUUAUUACUUGUAUGACCACGUAUACUUGCGUGUGCGUUUGGGAGCAACAAGUUUUUGACUAUUCAUUCACUGGCCCGGCUAAUUUCAUUACAUUAGCAGUAUUUAAUGAACGUAAAGGAAUAUUUAACGGUACUUAACCAAAGUACUAAGAUUACUAUUUCUCUUUUUUAUUUGUAUGAUGUAGUUUUGACUGAGCAAGGAAUUUAGGAAAAAAGAUAGACUUUUCAAACUUAUCUUCUUAAUAUAUGUUAUAAAAUUAGUGUGGCUAUAAUCUUUUGAAACUUGUAACAUUUAUAUGACUAUAAAAGCUACUCAUUUAGAGUAAAAAUGAAAAGUUAAGAAUUAAAUUAUUCUCAACCAUAAUAAUAUUGUAGCAUUCUUUUUAAAUGACGAGAAAAUAAUAUCACACAAAUAACAGAGGCCAACAUUUUUUUCUCCUAAACGUAAUUAAGGACUAAAUACUUACGCAGCAAACAUUCAAGGGCUAUUAGCGUACUUUAUCUUUUACAAGUAAUUUAAUACUCCAUCAAGGACCCACCUUAGGAAUGUCAAACAUUGUCGACUGAUCGAUUCUAUUUUUCCUUAAGACAGAGAAAUUAAAUAAUUGUAAUUUUCAUUCUCAAACUCUCUAUGGCAGCAAGCUUCAUGCCUUUCUCCUCUAAAAAGAUAUUUCAAACAUUAUUAAUUAAGCACUAGUAUACAUUAAUUGUCAACGUGUCACGCACACAAUCAUCAAUUUUAUCGUCUUUCUCCUAUAAAAACCCCAUCCUAUGCUUCACAUUUCAUCACAACUGCAACAAGAACUUGUUUUAGUAUACUUUCUUUCACAAUAAAUUAAAGGUCUCUUCCAAACAACAAAUUAAGAAAACAUGUCUUGCUGCGGAGGAAGCUGUGGCUGUGGAUCUGGCUGCAAGUGCGGUAGUGGCUGCGGAGGGUAAUUAGUUCUGAUUCCGUACCAUCAUUUAUUAUUUUAAGCUACAGACAUUGAAAUCUAGAGUCACUAGCUAGGUUCAUAAUAAGCACUAUUUUAUUAUAUGUAUAAUUUUUUAUUCUUUUUCGCAUGUACUGUAUACAUAAUUUUCGUCAAAAGUACUAAUGAGUUUAAACAGGAUUCUCCAUUAAUUUGCCUGGGUGCCUGACCCAUUUUUUUUCUUUUUCACCCCACCAGAAAAACUAUAUAAGGAUAUCAAUUUGUUAAUUACUUGUGUUUGUUUUAUCAUAAUGUAGAUGUGGGAUGUACCCUGACUUAGAGAAGUCCACUACCUUUACCAUCAUUCAGGGUGUUGCUCCCAUGAACAAGUACGUCUAAUUUUACUUUUUUUUCCUAUGCUUUUUGGUUUAAACAUAUAAUUAUUAAAUUCGGAAAAGAAUCAAAGAAUAUUAUAAUAAGUAACUGAAAGGCUAAAAACGAAUUACUUGAAAUGUUGCAGCUUUGAGGAAUUCGGAGAGAAAGCAGCAGAAGGAGGAAAUGGAUGCAAGUGUGGAUCAAACUGUACCUGUGACCCUUGCAAUUGUUAAGAUAAUUCCACAAUAAUUUAAGCGUGUGCUAUAAAAGCUUUUGUAAUAAUAACGAUAAGACUGCAGCCAUGGAACUGUGAUCUGAUAUUAGCUCUUAGCUUUGUGUGUCGUGGC